GUCGUGACUGCGUGCCUUUUGAAGAAUGAGCCUGCGAGUUUGCGGUGUGUUGCGAGGUUAACCCGUGUGGGGUAGCCGUAGCGAAAGCGAGUCCGAAUAGGGCGGUUUAGUAGCGCGCUCAAGACCCGAAGCGGAGUGAUCUAGCCAUGGGCAGGUUGAAGCGGCUGUAAGAGGUCGUGGAGGACCGAACCCACCAGGGUUGAAAACCUGGGGGAUGACCUGUGGUUAGGGGUGAAAGGCCAAUCAAACUCCGUGAUAGCUGGUUCUCCCCGAAAUGCAUUUAGGUGCAGCGUCGUGUGUUUCUUGCCGGAGGUAGAGCACUGGAUAGGCGAUGGGCCCUACCGGGUUACUGACCUUAGCCAAACUCCGAAUGCCGGUAAGUGAGAGCGCGGCAGUGAGACUGUGGGGGAUAAGCUCCAUGGUCGAGAGGGAAACAGCCCAGAGCAUCGACUAAGGCCCCUAAGCGUACGCUAAGUGGGAAAGGAUGUGGAGUCGCAGAGACAACCAGGAGGUUGGCUUAGAAGCAGCCAUCCUUGAAAGAGUGCGUAAUAGCUCACUGGUCAAGUGAUUCCGCGCCGACAAUGUAGCGGGGCUCAAGCGUACCGCCGAAGUCGUGUCAUUGCAGCGUGAGGGCUAACGCCUGUUGUGAUGGGUAGGGGAGCGUCGUGUGCCGGGUGAAGCCGCGCCGGAAGGCAGUGGUGGACGGUUCACGAGUGAGAAUGCAGGCAUGAGUAGCGAUACACACGUGGGAAACGUGUGCGCCGAUUGACUAAGGGUUCCUGGGUCAAGCUGAUCUGCCCAGGGUAAGUCGGGACCUAAGGCGAGGCCGACAGGCGUAGUCGAUGGACAACCGGUUGAUAUUCCGGUACCCGCUUUGGAACGCCCAGUAUCGAAUCAGACGAUGCUAAGGCCGUGAAGCCG
This 921-nucleotide ribosomal RNA is filed under the name Streptomyces sp. SID4917. RNAcentral describes it as "partial 23S ribosomal RNA". It matches the Rfam family "Bacterial large subunit ribosomal RNA", at positions 590 to 1497 of the family's 2925-position model. The record is from RNAcentral. Lineage: Bacteria; Bacillati; Actinomycetota; Actinomycetes; Kitasatosporales; Streptomycetaceae.